This 421-nucleotide ribosomal RNA is filed under the name uncultured bacterium. RNAcentral describes it as "partial 16S ribosomal RNA". It matches the Rfam family "Bacterial small subunit ribosomal RNA", at positions 360 to 773 of the family's 1533-position model. The record is from RNAcentral.
AAUAUUGGACAAUGGGCGAAAGCCUGAUCCAGCCAUGCCGCGUGUGUGAAGAAGGUCUUCGGAUUGUAAAGCACUUUAAGUUGGGAGGAAGGGCAGUAAGUUAAUACCUUGCUGUUUUGAAGUUACCGACAGAAUAAGUCCCGGAUAACUUCGUGUCAGCAGCCGUGGUAAUACGAAGGGUGCAAGCGUUAAGUGGAAUUACUGGGCGUAAAGCGAGCGUAGGUGGUUUGUUAAGUUGGAAGUGAAAGCCCCGGGCUCCACCUGGGAACUGCUUUCAUAACUGCUGAGCUAGAGUACGGUAGAGGGUAGUGGAAUUUCCUGUGUAGCGGUGAAAUGCGUAGAUAUAGGAAGGAACACCAGUGGCGAAGGCGACUACCUGGACUGAUACUGACACUGAGGUGCGAAAGCGUGGGGAGCAAAC